RNAcentral lists this ribosomal RNA (198 nucleotides) under uncultured bacterium. RNAcentral's name for it is "partial 16S ribosomal RNA". It matches the Rfam family "Bacterial small subunit ribosomal RNA", at positions 328 to 539 of the family's 1533-position model. The record is from RNAcentral.
ACGCUCGACACCUACGGAGGCAGCAGUGGGGAAUAUUGCACAAUGGGGGAAACCCUGAUGCAGCGACGCCGCGUGGAGGAAGAAGGUCUUCGGAUUGUAAACUCCUGUUGUUGGGGAAAAAGAGGAUGGUACCCAACAAGGAAGUGACGGCUAACUACGUGCCGGACAGCCGCGGUAAUCUGAGCGGGCUGGCAAGGC